AUGGACUACACGUAUUUGACUCAAACACUUAACUCUCCGCAUACACCAAGUCUUAUAGAUCUAUACACUCAUUCAACAAACUUCACCAUAGCGUCCUUUGCCAUCUUGAAAUCACCAUUUUGCUUGAAAACACAUGCAUGGUUAGACUCGGGUCUUCUCUUGUUUGCUCACUCGCAUGAGCCGGUUGCCAAGCUCUUGAUUGAUAAUAUAUCACCACACCUGGCUUCUCCUCAACUCUCAACGAUGGUUGCUCGCACCUUGUACAGGUUGUUCUUGGUCCUCUUUCCCAUCCACAAGCUUCUUGUCCUUCUUGAUCCUCAUGGUCUUCUUGUCCCUGUCCACCUUUGGACAUAA
RNAcentral lists this ribosomal RNA (354 nucleotides) under Triticum aestivum (bread wheat). Its description in RNAcentral is "partial small subunit ribosomal RNA". The record is from RNAcentral. Lineage: Eukaryota; Viridiplantae; Streptophyta; Magnoliopsida; Poales; Poaceae.